Molecule: ribosomal RNA, 1175 nt
Filed under: Escherichia coli
Lineage: Bacteria; Pseudomonadati; Pseudomonadota; Gammaproteobacteria; Enterobacterales; Enterobacteriaceae
Description: partial 23S ribosomal RNA
Rfam family: Bacterial large subunit ribosomal RNA
Source: RNAcentral
GGUUAAGCGACUAAGCGUACACGGUGGAUGCCCUGGCAGUCAGAGGCGAUGAAGGACGUGCUAAUCUGCGAUAAGCGUCGGUAAGGUGAUAUGAACCGUUAUAACCGGCGAUUUCCGAAUGGGGAAACCCAGUGUGAUUCGUCACACUAUCAUUAACUGAAUCCAUAGGUUAAUGAGGCGAACCGGGGGAACUGAAACAUCUAAGUACCCCGAGGAAAAGAAAUCAACCGAGAUUCCCCCAGUAGCGGCGAGCGAACGGGGAGCAGCCCAGAGCCUGAAUCAGUGUGUGUGUUAGUGGAAGCGUCUGGAAAGGCGCGCGAUACAGGGUGACAGCCCCGUACACAAAAAUGCACAUGCUGUGAGCUCGAUGAGUAGGGCGGGACACGUGGUAUCCUGUCUGAAUAUGGGGGGACCAUCCUCCAAGGCUAAAUACUCCUGACUGACCGAUAGUGAACCAGUACCGUGAGGGAAAGGCGAAAAGAACCCCGGCGAGGGGAGUGAAAAAGAACCUGAAACCGUGUACGUACAAGCAGUGGGAGCACAGAGCAAUCUGUGUGACUGCGUACCUUUUGUAUAAUGGGUCAGCGACUUAUAUUCUGUAGCAAGGUUAACCGAAUAGGGGAGCCGAAGGGAAACCGAGUCUUAACUGGGCGUUAAGUUGCAGGGUAUAGACCCGAAACCCGGUGAUCUAGCCAUGGGCAGGUUGAAGGUUGGGUAACACUAACUGGAGGACCGAACCGACUAAUGUUGAAAAAUUAGCGGAUGACUUGUGGCUGGGGGUGAAAGGCCAAUCAAACCGGGAGAUAGCUGGUUCUCCCCGAAAGCUAUUUAGGUAGCGCCUCGUGAAUUCAUCUCCGGGGGUAGAGCACUGUUUCGGCAAGGGGGUCAUCCCGACUUACCAACCCGAUGCAAACUGCGAAUACCGGAGAAUGUUAUCACGGGAGACACACGGCGGGUGCUAACGUCCGUCGUGAAGAGGGAAACAACCCAGACCGCCAGCUAAGGUCCCAAAGUCAUGGUUAAGUGGGAAACGAUGUGGGAAGGCCCAGACAGCCAGGAUGUUGGCUUAGAAGCAGCCAUCAUUUAAAGAAAGCGUAAUAGCUCACUGGUCGAGUCGGCCUGCGCGGAAGAUGUAACGGGGCUAAACCAUGCACCGAAGCUGCGGCAGCGACGCU